GCCUUGGCUGGGCGGUCCGGCACUAGGUCGGCACUGCGUUGGCUGGGGCUCACCUCUUGGUGAGCCGCCCAUGCCCUUCACUGGGUGGGGUGGGGAACCAGGACUUUUACUUUGAAAAAAUUAGAGUGUUCAAAGCAGGCAUACGCUCGAAUACAUUAGCAUGGAAUAAUGGAAUAGGACUCUGGUUCUAUUUUGUUGGUUUCUAGGACCGGGGUA
RNAcentral lists this ribosomal RNA (216 nucleotides) under uncultured fungus. RNAcentral's name for it is "partial small subunit ribosomal RNA". The stretch from base 91 to 216 matches the Rfam family "Eukaryotic small subunit ribosomal RNA", at positions 736 to 864 of the family's 1831-position model. The record is from RNAcentral. Lineage: Eukaryota; Fungi.